This is a long non-coding RNA of Betta splendens (Siamese fighting fish), 439 nucleotides long. RefSeq lists it as uncharacterized. The transcript is spliced from 3 exons. The record is from RefSeq and is a predicted model, not a curated record. NCBI's taxonomy places the organism in Eukaryota, Metazoa, Chordata, Actinopteri, Anabantiformes, Osphronemidae.
AGCAGCAAAAGGUGACUCCCAGCAACAGUAAAUACAACUGAAAUGUUCUUCAAGUCUUAACGUUUCUCUGAUGUAUUUACUCACUCUGUAUUCCAUUCUAUGAUUUCACUUUACCAGACACAACCCAACUGGACCAAGAUCCUGCGUUCCAAGCAGCUCGGACCCAAGAUGGAGAUGUUAAACUGACGCAUGAACAACAGCUGCAAAUUUACCUUCAGUGCAGCUGUGGAGGCUGGAGAACUUCAUCCAGGGACAGGACCACCUGGAGAGAAGUUGUCCCCUACGUUCAUGGAGGCUCAGUGCACUCUUCGCUCCCUCCAGCCUCCGGUCCAGAUGAAGAGGAGCCUCCCAGUCCUAACCACAGAGGAAGUGUGUUUAUCACUGCUUUCUCUGUGCUGCUGGGUUUGGGUCUGGGUCUGUUGGCCUCCAUCUGCCAACA